RNAcentral lists this ribosomal RNA (37 nucleotides) under Neckeropsis beccariana. RNAcentral describes it as "26S ribosomal RNA". Lineage: Eukaryota; Viridiplantae; Streptophyta; Bryopsida; Hypnales; Neckeraceae. The record is from RNAcentral.
CCGACCUCUAAUCGGAAAAGACCACCCGCUGAGUUUA